GACGAACGCUGGCGGCGUGCUUAACACAUGCAAGUCGAGCGAUGGCGCCUAGUUUGAUUGGUGGGUUAGUGGCGAACGGGUGAGUAAUUCGUGAGUAACCUACCUUUACCUCUGGGAUAAGCCCGGGAAAGAGGGUCUGAUACCGGCUACGAGCAAUCUCCGCAUGGGGUGUUGGUGGUAAGAGGUAUGUCUUGGUUAUAGAUGGGCGGACGGCCGAUCAGCUUGUUGGGGAGGUAACGGCCCACAAAGGCGACGACGGGUAGGCGGCCGGAGAGGGUGACCGGCCACAGUGCGACUGAGACACGGCCCAGACUCCGACGGGUGGCAGCAGUGGGGAAUAUUGCACAAUGGGCGCAAGCCUGAUGCAGCGACGCCGCGUGAGGGAUGACGGCCUUCGGGUUGUAAACCUCUGUUAGCAGUGAAGAAGAGAGAUUGACGGUACCUGCAGAGAAAGCACCGGCUAACUACGUG
This 471-nucleotide ribosomal RNA is filed under the name uncultured bacterium. RNAcentral describes it as "partial 16S ribosomal RNA". It matches the Rfam family "Bacterial small subunit ribosomal RNA", at positions 28 to 507 of the family's 1533-position model. The record is from RNAcentral.